UACGAAGGGGGCUAGCGUUGUUCGGAAUUACUGGGCGUAAAGCGCACGUAGGCGGAGUGUUAAGUCAGAGGUGAAGUCCCGGAGCUCAACUUCGGAACUGCCUUUGAUACUGGCAAUCUAGAGUCCGGAAGAGGUUAGUGGAAUUCCCAGUGUAGAGGUGAAAUUCGUAGAUAUUGGGAAGAACACCAGUGGCGAAGGCGGCUAACUGGUCCGGUACUGACGCUGAGGUGCGAAAGCGUGGGGAGCAAACAGG
RNAcentral lists this ribosomal RNA (253 nucleotides) under uncultured bacterium. RNAcentral's name for it is "partial 16S ribosomal RNA". It matches the Rfam family "Bacterial small subunit ribosomal RNA", at positions 524 to 776 of the family's 1533-position model. The record is from RNAcentral.